AUGAACGCUAGCGGUCAGGCUUAANACAUGCAAGUCGAGGGGUAGAAGGAGCUUGCUCCUUUGAGACCGGCGCACGGGUGCGUAACGCGUAUGCAAUCUACCUUUUGCAGAGGGAUAGCCCAGAGAAAUUUGGAUUAAUACCUCAUAGUAUGUGAGGAUGGCAUCAUUUUCACAUUAAAGUCACAACGGCAAAAGAUGAGCAUGCGUCCCAUUAGCUAGUUGGUAAGGUAACGGCUUACCAAGGCUACGAUGGGUAGGGGGUCCUGAGAGGGAGAUCCCCCACACUGGUACUGAGACACGGACCAGACUCCUACGGGAGGCAGCAGUGAGGAAUAUUGGACAAUGGGCGCAAGCCUGAUCCAGCCAUGCCGCGUGCAGGAUGACGGUCCUAUGGAUUGUAAACUGCUUUUAUACAGGAAGAAACACUCCGACGUGUCGGAGCUUGACGGUACUGUAAGAAUAAGGAUCGGCUAACUCCGUG
RNAcentral lists this ribosomal RNA (481 nucleotides) under uncultured bacterium. RNAcentral describes it as "bacterial SSU rRNA". It matches the Rfam family "Bacterial small subunit ribosomal RNA", at positions 29 to 507 of the family's 1533-position model. The record is from RNAcentral.